RNAcentral lists this long non-coding RNA (861 nucleotides) under Malus domestica (apple). RNAcentral describes it as "long non-coding RNA (MDOM_LNC019828)". Lineage: Eukaryota; Viridiplantae; Streptophyta; Magnoliopsida; Rosales; Rosaceae. The record is from RNAcentral.
GUUGUAAAUGGACAUAAGUCCAUCAUUUGAUUUGUGUUGUAAAGGGCAUAAGCCCUUCUUAUUAUUUCAUGUAUUCCUUUUGUUUAUUUGUAUGCAAAAUGGAAUAGUUGGGUCCAACGCCCAAUAGGAAAUAACGGUUUAAUUGGAUUAAACGCGUAAAUAAAAUCAACAACUAUCUACCUUAAACCCAAGGUCCAACACAAGGCUCGUGUUGGAUCAAAUUAAUCGGUUCAUAAUCAUCCUAAAACCUAAUAUGACUAUAUAGUCCAUAUGAGGAUGCAAUGCAUUCGUUAGUAGUUCCAUAUAGUCUCACUUAUUUCUUCGAAAUAGUGGGAGUAUUAUAAACUACUAAAUUCAUAUUAACUUGGACCAAUAGUUGUGAUAGGCCCAUGUUCUUUUAAUAUGAUUAAAAUGAUUUUGAUGUAGCCCAAAACUACUCCCUCAACAAACGAAUAUUAAGUUGAUAAGCGAGAGAUAUUUUGAACAUCUCUUCGUAGACCUUCCACCGUGGUGGGCUUCAAUCGUUUGUGACUCAUACACCGUAUUCGUCCAGUUCUGGGGUAUGCAAAGUAUGUGCUUACAUUUUGGAGAAGCCCAUAAACAUAUGAUGAAGUGAAAGUAGGCAACGAGUAUGGCCAAUAUGAUAUUCUUCUGAGGCCAUUCUUGAACCCCUACUUGAACAAGCAUGGUGGGAACGACUUAACUAAGUGCAAUGGUGCCAAUAUGAUAUUCUUCUGAGGCAUCAUUCUCUAGAGGCCAAACUAGAUGGGUAAUUACAAAAGGUUGUAAAUGAAUAAUGCGUUAUUCUCUCAUCAUUAUUGUUGCUUUGAGUGCAAGUGGGAGAUUGUUGGAAGUAUGCCC